AGAGCUACAGGCUUCAAAAGCAAAUUCUUCAAACUGUUCCUCAACCUCCUGGCUCUCUCCGAUCCCCCUCUCGCCCCUCCCUGGAACAAGGUGGUUAAACGGUGCGGUUGUUUUAGGGGGGCCCUUUUCCAGAGCAUCCGUCCCUGUUCAGAGAACUGGCUUUAAUGCGGAUCCCUUUACGGCCGGGGGAACGGCUUCUUCAUCAGAUUGAAGGAAAAAUUUCAACUUCUCAUACGCUAGCUUCAGGCAAAUCGUGCCAACGUCUCCCAGCCACCUGCGAUGCUCCUCUUGAACGGUAUGAAACAGAGACAUCUAAAGGACGACUGAGGUAGUGAGGCUGACAGGUCAGCUCUCCAACCAGUCAGUCUCUCCGACCCGGGCUUCACGCUGAAAGGGAAACGCAGCAGCGCUUCUCUUGGAUGAGGAGACUGCAAAAAGGAGGCAGGAAUCACUUAAAAUGGUGAAACUUCUUGUUUUAAAGCCUCUGGAGAGAAAAAGCGGGCUCAACCAGACUUCUGUAAGCCAUUGCCUCGGGGACUUCUUCCUCAGUGGCUUGACCAUGAAAUUCAUCCUUAGUGCCUCCUGUAUCAACAGUGCUCCAUGUGUGCCUGCAGAAUGAAUGACCCCCACCCCAUCCAGCAAGAGCAUUACUUCUAAUUAUUUCUUUUUCUUUCUUUUUUUUUGGUCAGCCUUGAGUAGGGGAAAGAGACCUGGGUUGAGAGUCAAAAACCUUGGGUUCUAAACUCAGCUGUGCCACUAAAUGGGGCAGCCAGAUGGAAUAGUGGAGAGACUUCUCAGGACUCACCUCAGAAUGAGUCAUCUUCCUGAAUUCAAAUCUAUCCCCAGACCCUUCCUAGCUGUGUGACUCUAGGCAAGUCAUUUAACCCUGUUUGCCUCAAUUCCCUCAUCUAUAAUGUGCUGGAGAAAAAAAUAACAAACCAUUCCAAUAAUUCUGCCAAGAAAGCUCUAAAUCGGGUCACAAAGAGUUGGACAUGACUGAAACUAUUAAUUAAUAUUUUUAAACCCUUACCUUCCGUCUUGGAGUCAAUACUGUGUAUUGCUCCAAGGCAGAAGAGUGGUAAGGGCUAGGCAAUGGGGGUCAAGUGACUUGCCCAGGGUCACACAGCCAGUUAGUGUCUGAGGCCAGAUUUGGACCUAGGACCUCCCAUCUCUAGGCCUGGCUCUCAAUCCACUGAGCUACCC
This 1203-nucleotide long non-coding RNA is filed under the name Monodelphis domestica (gray short-tailed opossum). RNAcentral's name for it is "lncRNA (ENSMODG00000031505.2)". The record is from RNAcentral. Lineage: Eukaryota; Metazoa; Chordata; Mammalia; Didelphimorphia; Didelphidae.